CACAACUCUAACAGAUGAUGGUUGAACGCACCACUUAACGCACUCUCAGCUCACAAAAUGACCCUUACAAUGCUCCAGCAAGGGUAUCCUUUAAUCAGUUGCUGUCAUAAAAAUGACUUAUACUCGUAUCGCUCUAUCCAUCCUUUGGUGUCCACUGGUUCUGGUUCCUCUAUCUCUAUCCAUCCAACUUUUCUCCUCCUCGUCACCUCAUUUUCAUUCACGUAACAAAAUCGGCCCAGGCGUCUAGCAGCCAUGUUUUCUCUUCCGUCGUUCACACGACCACUUCUCCACUGUCACACCACACGCGUGCAUAUGUGGUAGCCGCGCAGUGUUAUUGUUCUCUCCACCACUCACUCCUUUGUCGACAGCAGCUGAUCCGGCGUGUCUUACUGAGAAAAUUUAGCAUCGCUGAGUCUCCUCAAUGGCACAAGAAAAGAGACGGGAACAACUCUAACUCGCUGGAGGUGGAGUACUAGUAUAAUACGGAGUAUAAAAUGCCGCUAACGUUGCAACUCGUUGGUGCAUGCCCAGCAAGUCCGGAUCUUGCUGCACCGGCAAUGGAUCAGGCCGCCUCCUACUCCACCACCACCACGCCCCUGCUGCUGAUCCUCGGCUCCCUCACGCUCGCGGUCUCGCUGUUCGUGCUGAUUGGUCGCAGCAGCCAUGGACGCGGGAAGGCGGGGCUCCCGCCCGGCCCGCCGGCGCUGCUCUUCCUCGCCAAGUUCGUCGCGCUCCGCCGGUCCAUAUUCGACCUGGGCCCGCUGCUCGUCGACCUUCACGCGCGCCACGGCCCCGUCAUCUCCGUGCGCCUCUUCCGCACGCUCGUCUUCGUCGCCGACCGCAAGCUGGCCCACCGCGCGCUCGUCCAGGGCGGCGCCACCUUCGCCGACAGGCCGCCGCCGGUCGACCCUGUCCGCAUGUUCACUUCCGGGGGACGUGACAUCAGCUCCUCCUCCUACGGGCCGUACUGGCGCCUCCUCCGCCGGAACCUCGCCGGGGAGGCGCUCAGCCCUGCCCGUGUUGGUCUCUUCGCGCCGGCGAGGAGGUGGGCGUGCGACGGCCUCGUCUCCAGCCUCCUCAGCGAGCAGCAAUCGCAGCGCCAGGACGCCGUGACGCUCAGGCCGCUCCUGCGCCGGGCCAUGUUCGAGCUGCUCGUGUACAUGUGCUUCGGCGCACGGCUCGGACGGGAAACGCUCGACGAGGUGGAGGAGCUGCAGCACCAGGCGCUACUCUCGGUCACCACAUUCCCGGUCUUCGCCUUCUUCCCGGCGGUCACUAAGAGACUCUUCGGCAGACGCUGGGCGGCGUGCCUCGCUGUGCGCAGGAGGCAGGACGAGGUAUUCGUCCCGCUCAUCCACGCGAAGCGCGGCGACGGUGACCCGCCGUGCUACGCCGACUCCCUCCUCGCCGUCCGCGUGGCCGAUGAGGGCGGCCGCCAGCUCACUGACGCCGAGAUGGUCGCCCUCUGCUCCGAGUUCAUGAACGGUGGAACAGAUACCACGGUGACCUUGCUGGAGUGGAUCGUGGCCGAGCUCGUGCAACACCCCGACGUCCAGACCAAGGUCUACGAGGAGGUGAAAGCUAAUCCAGAGCUCAACAACCUGCAGGCAAUGCCGUACCUGAAGGCCGUCGUGCUCGAGGGCCUUCGGCUGCACCCGCCAGGCCACUUCGUCCUCCCGCACGGCGUGCAGAGCGGCGACGCGGAGAUCGCGGCCUACGCGGUGCCCAAGGGAGCGGAGGUCAACUUCCUGGUAGCGGAGAUUGGCCGCGACGAGACUGUGUGGACGGCGGCGCGGGAGUUCCGUCCGGAGAGGUUCCUGGAGGGCGGCGAGGGGCACGGAGUGGACAUCACGGGGAGCAGGGAGAUCAAGAUGAUGCCUUUCGGCGCAGGGCGCAGGAUGUGCCCGGGGUACACGCUGGGCAUGCACCACGCCGAGUACUUCGUGGCGAGAAUGGUGAGGGAGCUGGAGUGGCGGCCGGCAGCGGAGGGGGCGAAGGUGGACAUGGCGGAGACGCUCGAUUUCACCACCGUGAUGAAGCACCCGCUCCGUGCGCUCAUCGUCUCCAGAAGCUAACGAUUUCCCACGCAGAAUGCAACCUCUCGACAUAUGAGUCGAAGAAUACGUCGACGCAACUUUUUUAUGGCGUUUAAAAGUAUUUGAGUUUUUAAUUUGUACUCUACUUACUAAAUCAAACAUAUUAAGGUUUGAUCAUGUCUAUAAAAAAUACACCAACAUCUGCAACACUGGAUUUUUUUACAUCAGUACAAACACAAGCUACAUAAGCUCUCAUAUAUACACGCAUACGCUCA
RNAcentral lists this ribosomal RNA (2311 nucleotides) under Triticum aestivum (bread wheat). RNAcentral's name for it is "partial small subunit ribosomal RNA". The record is from RNAcentral. Lineage: Eukaryota; Viridiplantae; Streptophyta; Magnoliopsida; Poales; Poaceae.